CUAAUAUUAGCUCGAACAAAAAAAAAUUACUCAAUUAGUUCUCUCAACUAAAUUAAAACAUUCACCACCUUUAAAAGUAUAGGAGAUAGAAAUUUUCGCUCGACGCUAUAGAGAAAGUACCGUAAGGGAAUUAUAAAUUAAAAGUGCAACAAAGCAAAGAUUAAACCUUGUACCUUUCGCAUAAUGAUUUAACUAGAAAAACUUUAGCAAAGAGGACUGAAGCUAAAGACCCCGAAACCAGACGAGCUAUUUAAGGGCAGCCCAAGGGGGCACACUCAUCUAUGUGGCAAAAUAGUGAGAAGACCUUUAAAUAGAGGCGACAAACCAAUCGAGCCUGGUGAUAGCUGGUUGUCCAGUAAAUGAAUUUUAGUUCGAUGUUAAACCUACCAAAAACAAACAUAAGUUAAAUGUAGGAUUAACUUGUAGUCUAAAAGGGUACAGCUUUUAGAUAAAGGAUACAACCUUAAUUAGAGAGUAAAUAUUAAAUUUAACAUAGUUGGCCUAAAAGCAGCCACCCAUUGAGAAAGCGUUCAAGCUCAACAACCACUUAUUAUCUUAAUAUCACAUAUAAAAAUCAACUCCUAAAUUAAUACUGGACUAUUCUAUUACUAAAUAGAAGCAAUACUGUUAAUAUGAGUAACAAGAAUAUUUUCUCCCCGCAUAAGUAUAUAUCAGAACGAAUAGCUCACUGAUAAUUAACAAAUCAUUAAGUCUAAUCUAAAAAUUAACUUCUUAUAUACUAAAUUGUUAACCCAACACAGGAGUGCGCACAGGGAAAGAUUAAAAGAAGUAAAAGGAACUCGGCAAGCACAAACCCCGCCUGUUUACCAAAAACAUCACCUCUAGCCUAACAAGUAUUAGAGGCACUGCCUGCCCAGUGACAUUAGUUCAACGGCCGCGGUAUCCUGACCGUGCAAAGGUAGCAUAAUCACUUGUUCUCUAAAUAAGGACUUGUAUGAAGGGCCACACGAGGGUUUAACUGUCUCUUACUUCCAAUCAGUGAAAUUGACCUUCCCGUGAAGAGGCGGGAAUAAAUAAAUAAGACGAGAAGACCCUAUGGAGCUUUAAUUAACUAAUCUAAAGAAAAUAAUAUCAAUCUACUAGAAAUAACAAAAUUCUAAUUAGAUUAGCAAUUUAGGUUGGGGUGACCUCGGAGUAAAAAAUAACUUCCGAGUGAUUAGUACUAAGACCUACUAGUCGAAGUAAUUUAUCAUUAAUUGAUCCAAAUAUUUGAUCAACGGACCAAGUUACCCUAGGGAUAACAGCGCAAUCCUAUUUAAGAGUCCAUAUCGACAAUAGGGUUUACGACCUCGAUGUUGGAUCAGGACAUCCUAGUGGUGCAGCCGCUACUAAGGGUUCGUUUGUUCAACGAUUAAUAGUCCUACGUGAUCUGAGUUCAGACCGGAGUAAUCCAGGUCGGUUUCUAUCUAUUAUAUGCCUCCCCCAGUACGAAAGGAUAAGGGAAGCGGGGCCUACUUCACCUCAGUGCCUCCAAAACGAACAGAUACUAUAAUAUAAAUCUGAAAGUACAUAAACUUGCAACCCUAGACCAGGGUUU
RNAcentral lists this ribosomal RNA (1558 nucleotides) under Cormura brevirostris (chestnut sac-winged bat). Its description in RNAcentral is "partial 16S ribosomal RNA". It matches the Rfam family "Bacterial large subunit ribosomal RNA". Lineage: Eukaryota; Metazoa; Chordata; Mammalia; Chiroptera; Emballonuridae. The record is from RNAcentral.